This 72-nucleotide transfer RNA is filed under the name Ovis aries (sheep). It matches the Rfam family "tRNA". Rfam says of the family: Transfer RNA (tRNA) molecules are approximately 80 nucleotides in length. Their secondary structure includes four short double-helical elements and three loops (D, anti-codon, and T loops). Lineage: Eukaryota; Metazoa; Chordata; Mammalia; Artiodactyla; Bovidae. The record is from Rfam by way of RNAcentral.
UCCUUGGUAGCUCAGCUGGUAAAGAAUCUGCUUGCAAUGCAGGAGAUCCUGGUUCGAUUCCAGACUCAAGAA